GAUGAACGCUGGCGGCGUGCCUAAUACAUGCAAGUCGAGCGAACAGACGAGGAGCUUACUCCUCUGACGUUAGCGGCGGACGGGUGAGUAACACGUGGAUACCUACCUAUAAGACUGGGAUAACUUCGGGAAACCGGAGCUAAUACCGGAUAAUAUAUUGAACCGCAUGGUUCAAUAGUGAAAGACGGUUUUGCUGUCACUUAUAGAUGGAUCCGCGCCGCAUUAGCUAGUUGGUAAGGUAACGGCUUACCAAGGCAACGAUGCGUAGCCGACCUGAGAGGGUGAUCGGCCACACUGGAACUGAGACACGGUCCAGACUCCUACGGGAGGCAGCAGUAGGGAAUCUUCCGCAAUGGGCGAAAGCCUGACGGAGCAACGCCGCGUGAGUGAUGAAGGUCUUCGGAUCGUAAAACUCUGUUAUUAGGGAAGAACAAAUGUGUAAGUAACUAUGCACGUCUUGACGGUACCUAAUCAGAAAGCCACGGCUAACUACGUG
RNAcentral lists this ribosomal RNA (496 nucleotides) under uncultured bacterium. RNAcentral describes it as "partial 16S ribosomal RNA". It matches the Rfam family "Bacterial small subunit ribosomal RNA", at positions 28 to 507 of the family's 1533-position model. The record is from RNAcentral.